RNAcentral lists this long non-coding RNA (483 nucleotides) under Hordeum vulgare. RNAcentral's name for it is "long non-coding RNA (HVUL_LNC018211)". The record is from RNAcentral. Lineage: Eukaryota; Viridiplantae; Streptophyta; Magnoliopsida; Poales; Poaceae.
UAGUAUUUUAUUAGUUUUCUGGAAGGAUGCAAAAGUCAUACUGGGCUUCCCGUGUAUAGUGAAUGCUAAAGGAUGCAAUAGUAUUUGUACAGUCGGGAAGUGUCAUUCUCUAUGUUUACCAACUGGACUCACCCUCUUCAGAGAUCUAACCCUUGUCACCGUAAGGAAAAAAGCAAAGAGUAUUAUGAGGCCAUAAAGUUUGAAUUCAUAGAAGCAUAUGCUGAAGAACACCAGAAUUAGUCUUCAUGAACCAUUAUCGCCUUGUUGAUGAUGUUUCACAUGUAAGUUUUUGGUCCAUUCAGACAAGGUCUUUUAAUUAUUCAGAAGCGAUGUCAAAUGGUACGUACCACUGUUUAUUUUAAUUUUCUUUCAAUAUUAAGUUGAGAACGGAUUAUUGCAUUUCCAUUUGGGAAAAGGAGAGGAGAAAAUGAUGGAUUGGAGCUUUGGCGGAACAUUAUUACUGUCUUGAAAAUUCAUGGCAAC